GCCCAUUUUAAUGGCAAGUCGAACGGUAAACGCGGGGAGAAGCUUGCUUCUCUCCGGCGACGAGUGGCGAACGGGUGAGUAAUACAUCGGAACGUGUCCGCUCGUGGGGGACAACCAGCCGAAAGGUUGGCUAAUACCGCAUGAGUUCUACGGAAGAAAGAGGGGGACCCGCAAGGGCCUCUCGCGAGCGGAGCGGCCGAUGACUGAUAGCCGGUUGGUGAGGUAACGGCUCACCAAAGCAACGAUCAGUAGCUGGUCUGAGAGGACGACCAGCCACACUGGGACUGAGACACGGCCCAGACUCCUACGGGAGGCAGCAGUGGGGAAUUUUGGACAAUGGGCGCAAGCCUGAUCCAGCUAUUCCGCGUGUGGGAUGAAGGCCCUCGGGUUGUAAACCACUUUUGUAGAGAACGAAAAGACACCUUCGAAUAAAGGGUGUUGCUGACGGUACUCUAAGAAUAAGCACCGGCUAACUACGUGCCAGCAGCCGCGGUAAUACGUAGGGUGCGAGCGUUAAUCGGAAUUACUGGGCGUAAAGGGUGCGCAGGCGGUUGAGUAAGACAGAUGUGAAAUCCCCGAGCUUAACUCGGGAAUGGCAUAUGUGACUGCUCGACUAGAGUGUGUCAGAGGGAGGUGGAAUUCCACGUGUAGCAGUGAAAUGCGUAGAUAUGUGGAAGAACACCGAUGGCGAAGGCAGCCUCCUGGGACAUAACUGACGCUCAGGCACGAAAGCGUGGGGAGCAAACAGGA
RNAcentral lists this ribosomal RNA (750 nucleotides) under uncultured bacterium. RNAcentral's name for it is "bacterial SSU rRNA". It matches the Rfam family "Bacterial small subunit ribosomal RNA", at positions 46 to 777 of the family's 1533-position model. The record is from RNAcentral.